CCCAUGAGGUGAUAACACGCCAAAAUGCAAAUUUGGAGACGUACCAGCAGGUGCCGGGGCUUCUCCCGUUUUAUUAUAGACGGGAGAAGA
This 90-nucleotide transfer RNA is filed under the name Cyrtodactylus nigriocularis. Its description in RNAcentral is "tRNA-Cys". Lineage: Eukaryota; Metazoa; Chordata; Lepidosauria; Squamata; Gekkonidae. The record is from RNAcentral.